Molecule: small nucleolar RNA, 79 nt
Organism: Cryptomeria japonica (Japanese cedar)
Lineage: Eukaryota; Viridiplantae; Streptophyta; Pinopsida; Cupressales; Cupressaceae
Product: small nucleolar RNA snoR14
Exons: 1
Source: RefSeq, a predicted model, not a curated record
UCAAUGUGAUGAACACAGAAAUCUGUCAAUCCACUGAAAAUUAUUGAUGCUAUUUUAUAUCUCAACAGGUUCUGAUUGA